GUGGGGAAUAUUGGGCAAUGGAGGGAACUCUGACCCAGCAACGCCGCGUGAGUGAAGAAGGUUUUCGGAUUGUAAAACUCUUUAAGCGGGGACGAAGAAAGUGACUGUACCCGCAGAAUAAGCAUCGGCUAACUACGUGCCAGCAGCCGCGGUAAUACGUAGGAUGCAAGCGUUAUCCGGAAUGACUGGGCGUAAAGGGUGCGUAGGUGGUUUGCCAAGUUGGCAGCGUAAUUCCGGGGCUUAACCCCGGAACUACUGCCAAAACUGGCAGGCUUGAGUGCGGCAGGGGUAUGUGGAAUUCCUAGUGUAGCGGUGGAAUGCGUAGAUAUUAGGAGGAACACCAGUGGCGAAAGCGACAUACUGGGCCGUAACUGACACUGAAGCACGAAAGCGUGGGUAGCAAACAGG
Molecule: ribosomal RNA, 408 nt
Filed under: uncultured bacterium
Lineage: Bacteria
Description: bacterial SSU rRNA
Rfam family: Bacterial small subunit ribosomal RNA
Source: RNAcentral